AUACGUAGGGGGCGAGCGUUGUCCGGAAUGAUUGGGCGUAAAGGGCGCGUAGGCGGCGCGGUAAGUCUGGAGUGAAAGUCCUGCUUUCAAGGUGGGAAUUGCUUUGGAUACUGCCGCGCUUGAGUGCAGGAGAGGUUAUCGGAAUUCCCGGUGUAGCGGUGAAAUGCGUAGAGAUCGGGAGGAACACCAGUGGCGAAGGCGGGUAACUGGACUGCAACUGACGCUGAGGCGCGAAAGUGUGGGGAGCAAACAGGAUUAGAUACCCUGGUAGUCCACACUGUAAACGAUGAAUGCUAGGUGUAAGAGGUAUCGACCCCUUUUGUGCCGGAGUCAACACAAUAAGCAUUCCGCCUGGAGAGUACGGCCGCAAGGUUGAAACUCAAAUGAAUUGACGGGG
This 397-nucleotide ribosomal RNA is filed under the name uncultured bacterium. Its description in RNAcentral is "partial 16S ribosomal RNA". It matches the Rfam family "Bacterial small subunit ribosomal RNA", at positions 523 to 918 of the family's 1533-position model. The record is from RNAcentral.